This 504-nucleotide ribosomal RNA is filed under the name Proandricus thornvillensis. RNAcentral's name for it is "partial 16S ribosomal RNA". It matches the Rfam family "Bacterial large subunit ribosomal RNA", at positions 1808 to 2606 of the family's 2925-position model. Lineage: Eukaryota; Metazoa; Annelida; Clitellata; Crassiclitellata; Microchaetidae. The record is from RNAcentral.
CAAAAACAUUGCUUGUCGAAAAACUAUGACAAGUAACUCCUGCCCAGUGAUAUAUUUAACGGCCGCGGUAUACUAACCGUGCAAAGGUAGCAUAAUAAUUUGCCCAUUAAUUGUGGGCUAGAAUGAACGGAUAAACGAAAUAAAGACUAUCUCAUCUAGUUAAAUAAAAAUUAACAUUUAACUGAAGAGGAUUAAAUACCAUCGAAGGACAAGAAGACCCUAUAGAGCUUUAUCACUAAUAAACAAUUAAUAUGUUUAGUAGAUUCGGUUGGGGCGACCAUGGGAUUUAAAAAUCACCCAAAACAAAUAGAUAAAUAUAUCACUAUAAAUGACCCUGAAAAUCAGAUCAUAAGAACAAGCUACCUUAGGGAUAACAGGCUAAUCCUAUUAAAGAGUCCAUAUCAAUAGUAGGGAUUGGCACCUCGAUGUUGGCUUAGGGCAUUCUUUAUGGCGCAAAAGUCAUAAACAGAUAGUUUGUUCAACUAAUAAAUCCCUACGUGAUCU